This is a long non-coding RNA of Rosa chinensis, 573 nucleotides long. RefSeq lists it as uncharacterized. The record is from RefSeq and is a predicted model, not a curated record. Lineage: Eukaryota; Viridiplantae; Streptophyta; Magnoliopsida; Rosales; Rosaceae. The transcript is spliced from 5 exons.
UCUGGCUUGUUGUUAUCGUGCUUUGCUGCUGCCGGUCCCGACUCUGCCACCGUUCGCGAUUUCUCUCUCUCGAUCUUCCACCGGUCGCGAUUUCUCUCCCCGUUCGGAUCCAUUUUGGUUCCGCCUUCCAGAGUUCCAAGCUCCAGCCACUGAGCCACCUCCCCUUUCAGUCUGCCUGAGCCACCUCCUCUGCCACCGAGUCACCUUCACUGCAAGUCUAUAUCUCUGAUCUCUGCGACUCCUUCAAGGCUUCAAUCCCUGAAUCUUAGGCCAUCAAGGACUGGGUUCGUUGGGUUCGUGACGAAAGCAUAGCCAUCUCUAAAGCAAAACUAGUUCUCCCUCUCUCUUUCUCUAGGUUUUGCUCUUCACUUCCGCUACCGGCUUCUAGCAGUAAGCAGCAGCUAGCUUCUCCGAUGUCGAGUUUCAUGCCAACAGCCAAUCGAUCAGAACACGAAUCCCAACAAGUUUGAGGUCUCUGAACCUCCAAACGACUCCAUUUCGAGCCUCAGCUUCAUCCCCAAAGCCAAUCACCUUGUCGCCACCUCCUGGGUCAACCAGGUUUGAUGUUGGGAG